RNAcentral lists this ribosomal RNA (526 nucleotides) under uncultured bacterium. RNAcentral's name for it is "partial 16S ribosomal RNA". It matches the Rfam family "Bacterial small subunit ribosomal RNA", at positions 28 to 523 of the family's 1533-position model. The record is from RNAcentral.
GACGAACGCUGGCGGCAUGCCUAAUACAUGCAAGUUGAACGAAAUAUAUUGACCGGAGUGCUUGCACAAAGGAUGAUAUAAUUUAGUAGCGAACGGGUGAGUAACACGUAAGAAAGCUACCUUAGAGUGGGGGAUAACAGUUGGAAACGACUGCUAAUACCGCAUAAGAUAUAGGAUCGCAUGGUGCUAUAUUGAAAGGUCCUUAUGGGAUUGUUCUAAGAUGCUCUUGCGGCGUAUUAGCUAGUUGGUAAGGUAAUGGCUUACCAAGGCAAUGAUACGUAGCCGAACUGAGAGGUUGAUCGGCCACAUUGGGACUGAGACACGGCCCAAACUCCUACGGGAGGCAGCAGUAGGGAAUCUUCCACAAUGGACGAAAGUCUGAUGGAGCAACGCCGCGUGAGUGAAGAAGGUUUUCGGAUCGUAAAACUCUGUUGUCAGAGAAGAACGUGUGCGAGAGUAACUGUUCGUGCAGUGACGGUAUCUGGCCAGAAAGCCACGGCUAACUACGUGCCAGCCGCCGCAGUAA